AGGCAGCAGUGGGGAAUAUUGCACAAUGGGCGAAAGCCUGAUGCAGCGACGCCGCGUGAAGGAUGAAGUAUUUCGGUAUGUAAACUUCUAUCAGCAGGGAAGAAAAUGACGGUACCUGACUAAGAAGCCCCGGCUAACUACGUGCC
RNAcentral lists this ribosomal RNA (146 nucleotides) under uncultured bacterium. RNAcentral's name for it is "partial 16S ribosomal RNA". It matches the Rfam family "Bacterial small subunit ribosomal RNA", at positions 346 to 509 of the family's 1533-position model. The record is from RNAcentral.